This 77-nucleotide transfer RNA is filed under the name Actinoplanes auranticolor. RNAcentral's name for it is "tRNA-Ala". Lineage: Bacteria; Bacillati; Actinomycetota; Actinomycetes; Micromonosporales; Micromonosporaceae. The record is from RNAcentral.
CUGUCGGUGGUCCGCCGGCCGGGACCGCGGAUCGCGACCGUGCUCGGCGGCGGCUGGAUCGCCUCCGGCCCGGCCGG